GGGCGCAUGGUGUAGUUGGUUAUCACGCCCGCUUAGCAUUAAGCUGAUUGCGGGCGGUGCUGGGUUCAAUUCCCAGUGUGUCCA
Non-coding RNA from Coprinopsis marcescibilis, 84 nucleotides. The record is from the annotation of a GenBank genome assembly. Lineage: Eukaryota; Fungi; Basidiomycota; Agaricomycetes; Agaricales; Psathyrellaceae.